GGAUCGUUAGCUCAGUUGGUUAGAGCAGAGAGUCUCAUAAGCCUCGUGUCCUGGGUUCGAGUCCCAGACGAUCUA
This 75-nucleotide transfer RNA is filed under the name Micromonospora craterilacus. It matches the Rfam family "tRNA". Rfam says of the family: Transfer RNA (tRNA) molecules are approximately 80 nucleotides in length. Their secondary structure includes four short double-helical elements and three loops (D, anti-codon, and T loops). The record is from Rfam by way of RNAcentral. Lineage: Bacteria; Bacillati; Actinomycetota; Actinomycetes; Micromonosporales; Micromonosporaceae.